ACGGAAGGCAGCAGUGGGGAAUAUUGGACAAUGGGGGAAACCCUGAUCCAGCGACGCCGCGUGAGUGAAGAAGUAUUUCGGUAUGUAAAGCUCUAUCAGCAGGGAAGAUGAUGACGGUACCUGACUAAGAAGCCCCGGCUAACUACGUGCCAGCAGCCGCGGUAAUACGUAGGGGGCAAGCGUUAUCCGGAUUUACUGGGUGUAAAGGGAGCGUAGGCGGCAUGGCAAGUCAGAUGUGAAAACCCGGGGCUCAACUCCGGGACUGCAUUUGAAACUGUCGUGCUAGAGUACAGGAGAGGCAAGUGGAAUUCCUAGUGUAGCGGUGAAAUGCGUAGAUAUUAGGAGGAACACCAGUGGCGAAGGCGCUUGCUGGACUGACACUGACGCUGAGGCUCGAAAGCGUGGGGAGCAAACAGGAUUAGAUACCCUGGUA
This 433-nucleotide ribosomal RNA is filed under the name uncultured Lachnospiraceae bacterium. RNAcentral's name for it is "partial 16S ribosomal RNA". It matches the Rfam family "Bacterial small subunit ribosomal RNA", at positions 341 to 792 of the family's 1533-position model. Lineage: Bacteria; Bacillati; Bacillota; Clostridia; Lachnospirales; Lachnospiraceae. The record is from RNAcentral.